Molecule: ribosomal RNA, 468 nt
Filed under: Streptomyces hygroscopicus
Lineage: Bacteria; Bacillati; Actinomycetota; Actinomycetes; Kitasatosporales; Streptomycetaceae
Also listed under: 1 other name
Description: bacterial SSU rRNA
Rfam family: Bacterial small subunit ribosomal RNA
Source: RNAcentral
CGCUGGCGGCGUGCUUAACACAUGCAAGUCGAACGAUGAACCGCUUUCGGGCGGGGAUUAGUGGCGAACGGGUGAGUAACACGUGGGCAAUCUGCCCUGCACUCUGGGACAAGCCCUGGAAACGGGGUCUAAUACCGGAUAUGACUGUCCAUCGCAUGGUGGAUGGUGUAAAGCUCCGGCGGUGCAGGAUGAGCCCGCGGCCUAUCAGCUUGUUGGUGAGGUAGUGGCUCACCAAGGCGACGACGGGUAGCCGGCCUGAGAGGGCGACCGGCCACACUGGGACUGAGACACGGCCCAGACUCCUACGGGAGGCAGCAGUGGGGAAUAUUGCACAAUGGGCGAAAGCCUGAUGCAGCGACGCCGCGUGAGGGAUGACGGCCUUCGGGUUGUAAACCUCUUUCAGCAGGGAAGAAGCGAAAGGGACGGUACCUGCAGAAGAAGCGCCGGCUAACUACGUGCCAGCAGCCA